AUGACACUGACAGCCAGCGAGCAAACAACAACAAGUCAGGCAACGAGGAAACGAGUAGCAGGAAGACAAUACAUCCAACAAGAAGACCAUGUCGCCACCUCCACCUGCAAAGCCGCCACACACUUGACAACCACACCAAUCGCCCCUGCAAACCCCCAACUCACCCAGGGCGGCACCUUCAGGAAGAUGACGAUGCAUGAAACGUCGCUGCCGCCCAGUCUGAAGAGACUAGAGUUUUCACCUGGGCAUGCGAGUAGGAGGGAAGGGGUAAACGCACCUCGACGGCGCCUCCAAGGAGGAAGACGGCACCAGGAGGUCUCGUCGUCGUCGUGGCCGGGAAUCCAGCCAGGGAUUUCUCCCGAUCCGUUAGCACCCCUCCAGCAGCCCCGUCAACAGCGGAUCCGGCGACCAGCGGCGGACAAGGGGCAGAUCUGA
Molecule: ribosomal RNA, 435 nt
Filed under: Triticum aestivum (bread wheat)
Lineage: Eukaryota; Viridiplantae; Streptophyta; Magnoliopsida; Poales; Poaceae
Description: partial small subunit ribosomal RNA
Source: RNAcentral